CAGUUCCCUCUGUCAUAAUCUGGAAUGAUGAUAUCAAUCAAGUGAAGCAGCUAUCACAGGGUCUGGAACAUAGUACAUCCCAGCCUUCUUGCACAUAGAAACACUACACAGCACUUCAGCUGUAUGUUUGGGGGCCAUUUUAAACAGCAAAAUCAUCAACAGGAAGCAGAAAAUUGUAAAAAUUGUGGCACUAAAUAGACCAUGUAAAGGACACAUGUUUGCAAUAAGAAAGCUGAAACAAGAAGGGGGAGUGUCACCUUAUUUGAUCCAGCUAGAAACUCAGGUGCUGGUAUUCCAGCAACACUCAGGCGGCUGCUCCAGGAGGCUGCAGAGGGGUCCUUUUUAGCCGUCAACAAAACUGGCUAUGGUCACGCCCAUUGGGAAACUCAUUGCUGCCUUCAAGGACUCAGAAGCUGUAGGAAUAUUCAGGCACAGACACCAGACCCAGCUUCAUCUCUAACUUGUGGCAAAGGACAGUACAUCCUGGGAUGGGACCCUAUGCUCCCCUAUGCCAUUUAGACAGAGCCUGGGGAGAGUGACUUCCCAGGGUAUCCAUGUUGGAAUCUCUCAUUUGAUUCUUAUUCAAAUUUAGGUUCUGUCAAUAGAAGAUACUAAAGAAAGAAAGCCAGGAGAAGAAAAGGGACUUCUUUCUUCAAGGUCUAAGCUGUUCUAAUAGCAUUAUUCUGGGAAUGGCAUCUUCCACUCCUCCUAGUACAAAGAACCUGCUUCCUCAUACCCCGUCAAGGAACUGCAGCAUCCAGGUGAUGGCCACAGUGGCAGAACCUAGGAAGCCAAGAAGAAACCAGAGAAUGGAGACACAUGGCAGCAAUGGCAAGUCAUCAGACCCAGGAUUUCCCAAAGAACACUGGUCCAGGAAGAUGCUCUGUGAAAAAGUGUUCCCUGGUCGGAGAAAUUUGUGAAACACUUUGCAUAAUACUUAAAAGAAUGUAUGGCACAUCAAAGGUAAUAUGCAAUAAAAGAAUUCAUUUUUUUAAAA
This 997-nucleotide long non-coding RNA is filed under the name Homo sapiens (human). RNAcentral describes it as "long intergenic non-protein coding RNA 1905". The record is from RNAcentral. Lineage: Eukaryota; Metazoa; Chordata; Mammalia; Primates; Hominidae.